Molecule: long non-coding RNA, 1039 nt
Filed under: Ananas comosus (pineapple)
Lineage: Eukaryota; Viridiplantae; Streptophyta; Magnoliopsida; Poales; Bromeliaceae
Description: long non-coding RNA (ACOM_LNC002021)
Source: RNAcentral
UCGAAAAUAAUGAUUGAAGUAGUAGGGCUUCGUGUAUAUGUUCUGCUGAGAAAUAAUUCUAUUCUCUUUCAUUAAAAUUGGAGAGGACAAUUUGGUAUUGUAUGUUGCCCAUAAUUAAGAUGACCUUACUUAUGGUGUGUUUGGUUCGCACUAUCUUUUAAAGAUUCCUAGUAAUCCAAUAGGAAUUAAAAAAUAUGACGGUGUUUGGCUAAACGCAAUAAGUAAUCUAGUUGGUAAUAUUGGAUUCACUUGGGAAUAAGAUUAAUCUCAUUCCCUUGAGGAAUGAUGUGUAUCUUCAUAUUAAUGGAUUGGGGUAAUCAUAAUAUGUCUACUCUCUUUCUUUCUCCCUAUCCGCCGGCUAAUCGAUAUUAUUUUUCUUUACACUCUAACGUCGUAUUUUUCUCUAAACUUAUUUUUCUCUUUAAAAUUCAACUUUUUUUUCUCUCUCUAAACUAAGCUUUAUCUCUCUCUCUUUCUAAAAUCUCAACUCUCCCACUUUCUCUAAUUUCGACACUAUUUCUCUUUCUAUUUUUUUUAAUUAUGCUCUCUCUCUCUAACUUAUGCUCUCUCUUUCUUUUUUCUAAAAAAAUGUUGAAACUUUUGGUAGCACUAUCUAAAAUUAAUAAAUAAAUAAAUAAAUAAAUUGUAUAUUUUUUGGAAUAUUAAAUAAUAUGGCUAAAUAAUAUUACCGUGCGAACUAAACACUGAAAUUUCACAUUCUUAGUAAUAGGAUAAAUAGGAAUAAGAUUUUCAGACAUCUUUUCAUUCCUAGUAAUAUUUUAUAAUGCAAACCAAACGCACCCUACUGGUAAUGCUAUGCAGGCCCUGCACCUCCACUUUUCAGGUUCUUGUGUCAAGUCAAAACAAUGAUUUUGAAGCAUCAGAAUAAAGAAAUUCCUGCUAUUACGAGGCUGCGUGCUCUUUUGGUACCAAUAUGUGCAAGUGAGACCUUUUUCUGUGUCUCCAAAUCAUGGGCCACCGAAAGAUUUCAGAGAAAUGUAUUUCUAUAAUCCUUUUCCGAGCCUGGCGCAGGUGAAGG